RNAcentral lists this long non-coding RNA (4595 nucleotides) under Patiria miniata (bat star). Its description in RNAcentral is "uncharacterized LOC119743463". The record is from RNAcentral. Lineage: Eukaryota; Metazoa; Echinodermata; Asteroidea; Valvatida; Asterinidae.
CGUGUUCAAAAAUCUUGCACAUGCAAUCCAAUACCAGGGUGAGAGAGCAGGUAGAUGUGGGCGCGUACUGCCCGACACCCUGGGGACGAGGUUGACUAAGUACCUAUCCACCGAGGGGUGCAUAUUGCCAUUGAUGAACACAUUAUUACUAUUACUCAUAAAUAUUCAUCAGGCAACCACGACAUUUCAUUGGUCCAUUCCAGCAACUCAACUGUGUGAAAGUUUUUACUAUUUCCCCCGCGUCUUCGUACUCGCGCGUGGCGUGUAAAAACCAUGGAGGUACUAUCACACCUGGGUCGCAGCCUGAGAUUUGUUCCAGUACUGUGAUAUAUAUUUACCAACGAUGCACGCGCUUUAGUAGCGUACCGUGGAGAUCACCAGUGAGGACAGCUGUGCUAGUCUGUAACGGCGUACAUCAAAAUGGCGACCGGUGGUGCUCGCUCUGCGAUUUUAACCGGGGAGGAACACAAUAAUAACAAAUCCAGUGUUCCAGUGAGCAAAAACAUGUGGUUCUGGAUCUGGUUCUGGUGGAAUACUGCAUAAUCUUUCCAGCAGGGAUGUAAUAUGCAGGCGCGAGGUGACUAUUUAUGAAAUGGGCCCCUCCGAUAAUGUCAUCUAUGUUAAGAGAUUGAAGUUUCAAAUGGGAAUGGACAAAUGAAAUUCCGCAGCUGCCUGAUCAAUAUUUUUGAGGUAAAGUCAACAAAUAUAUCAUGUGUUAGCGGAGGAAAUAGUGAAAACAAAUGAUCCCCAAUCCCAGUUGGGAGAUAAUAUAGAAAUAUGGAAUGCUUUCGAGUGGUGUAGUAAAAUACUAGACUCCCGAGGAUCACCAUUUUAAAAAAUAGAAUGCUCCACGGAUCACCGAGGGAGGUUAGUUUUACUUCACCACGAGAUAAAGCAUUCAAUAUUUGUUUUAUAACACUUCACCCACAGACUCUGCUUGAUUUUAAUAUUUAAAGUUAUUUCCCUUUCCCCAUGGACCGGCGCGCGCAGACGUAUAGUACGUUUUGCCAAUCAAGCUCUAUCUGUGGUUGACGCGUUAUAAUCCCAACCAUCCAACACUUCGGGAUCAUAAGUUUUCAAUAUUUUCCCACAACACCAUGUUGUAUUUGUAUAACAUUAGUCAGUUGGCAUGUGGUCGUAUCGUGAGCGACUGGUCCAAAGCAUCAAACAACUUGGUAGAUAGACUCUUAUAGCCUUAGAGAAGAUAUUUACCUGAAAUUAAUUUGGGACGGGUGCCUUGUUUGCACUUACCUUGUAAUAUAUUUAUUCCCAUAUUUGGGUAUAUUUUUAUUUUAUCAAAUUUUUGAAAAGUGUAUUUUGGAGAUUCUACUUACUGAAAGGUCCAGUCCAUCAUAAUCUGUGCAUUUUGUUCUUUCCAAGCAACAAAAGUCCUCAAAAUCUAAAGAAAGGUUGAUGAAUAACUUGACUGACGAUAAUUUCACAGGGGGUUUAGUUCCCUUACUAUUUUUCAACCAAGUAUGUUUUUCAACAAUUAUUACGUCAGUUGGUUUUGAUAUGUGUAAAUGAUGUUAUUAAAGCCAAAUAAACAUGUUCCAAAGCAUAUGAGCGACCGAAUGAUUACGAGGACAAUAGAUUGUGCGAAAUAACUUUGUCCUUAGAAAUCAAGUAUAGUCUUUCCAAACCACAGCAUUGAUGAGCAUCAAAUUCAUAAAGUUACUUACUGGCACCGUUAUCCUAACAAAAAACUGAUAACAUCUUGAUAUUUAUAGCCCCCCCCCGAAACAAGAUAAAUAAAUUGGGCGUAAAAUUAUGCAAAGGGUUGCUUUAAGUGGAGGGGGGGGGGGACCUGAACAAAAUCAAGGAAUCCCAAAAAUAAAGAUCUUUGUUGUUUAAAGUGAUCAUGUCCUAGUCAAAACGUUUUCUUACAAAUAAUUUUGUGAAUUUCCUUGAACUUGUCCAAGUCUCCCCCUUUAGGCAACCCUUCACCUACUUCCCAACCCCCCCCCCCCCCCCAAUUUACGGACACCUCAUUUUCUAUGUUUUUGCUAUCUGGGCUAAAUAUCACAAUGUUAUCAUUUUUUUUCCAUACAGUUUUAAUGGGUACCAUCUUGAUAAUUUGACGCUCUAACUAUUGACGUUUUACAAGUUUCAAACCAGCUGUGAUGUGCACGGUGCAUUUGAGAUAUUUGUUGUUGUUGCUGAACCUUUUCAUACAUUACCGUCAAUUCCACUAACUGUCAAAUAACGUAUACUGUAUUAUCCAACGCUAGAAAAAAUUUUUUGUGAGUGUUGUGUAUUUUAACCACUAUUUUUUUUCUAAAAGGGAAUUCAUUCAUUUAAUCUUCUCAGGGUUUUUCGAUCAGCGGCCAUCUUCUUGACAGUCCCAUCGUUUUGUUUAAUCUUCAAAUUACAGGAGAUCGUAAACAAGGUGUGAAAGACAUUGGGGUCGUAUGUAUAAAACCUAGCAUUCGCUUUUACCACCCUUUGAAGCAUUUACUUGCAUUCCGGGAAUCUCUGUCUGUCGGUCUUCGAUUAACUCCAGAACCGGGCGCUGUAUGAAGUGGAAAAUCGGCGGUGUGUGUUGCUAAGGACACCAGAAUAUGCAGUGCCCAAGUUUGAAGUUCUUUGGACGGGCGGUUCUCGAAAAAGCUGCAAAAAAAAGCGGAAAAUUGGCACCAAUUUCUCCUCAUAAAACAUUUUAGCCUGUGCAAAGCAAGUGCAAAUGGCGCCACUGAGUUGACGUCACAAUAACACUACUUGCGUAAAGUUUGGUAUACAAAAGAAACGUUUAUACCGUACAUGUAAAACGUGCGUUUGGAAUCUCUGUGUGUCUGUCUGUAACGUCGAUCAUCUCCAUAACCUGGCGCUGUAUGAAGUUGAAAAUCGGCGGGUAUAAAUGCUCGGGACCACAGAAUGUGCAGUGCCAAAUUUGAAGUUGUUUGGAUGAGCGGUUUUCGAAAAAGUUGCAAAAAUGCAAUAUUUUCUGAGGCAAACGUGGCAAUAUAGCCUAGACCACCUCGCGCUGGCGUCUUUUUCAAUUGCAAACGUCAUGUCUGAGCUAAGGUGCGCGUGCUCAAUGCAAUGUGAUGCAACAAAGGACGGGUACAUCUCAUUGAAAGGCGAUACCAUUUUCUAGAAUGAGUUGAAUAUUACUGGAUACCAUGUUUCCGUAUGUACACGUACGUGAGUGGCUGCAUUGGCACAUGCAUUUUGCAGUCGACUUUAGGCGGUCGACUCGGUAACCUUGACUGUUCAUUGGGGGUGAAUUCGAUUAACUCCAGAACCGGGCGCUGUAUGAAGUGGAAAAUCGGCGGUGUGUGUUGCUAAGGACACCAGAAUUGUGUAAGGAGAUGAGGAUACGUACAAAGUGUGCAUUCAUCUGUAAGUGUACGUUCAACCUGUGAAAACAACACCAUUUGAAUCGUGUGCGUUUUCUGCCCCUUCCGAAAAGGCACAUUUUCAAUGGGCUCUACACUUAGUUUGUAUGAAUGAAUUUAAAGCAAAUGCUUUUACUGGCAAACAUUUGCUUUUGCUUUUACUGGAAAGCAAAUGCUUUUUUACUGAAAAGCAAAUGCUUUUGCUUUUACUGCAAAGCAUUUGCUCAAAAGAUUUCCUUUUGUCGCGAUCAUUCGUCCAAGGAAAUUGGUUUGAUAUUUAAAUACAAAAAGCUUCAAACAAUUACAGUGAUUUGUAAAUGUUUGAAAUUAAAAGAAAUUGAAUGUAAUUGGCAACAUAAUAAUAAUAAUAAUAAUAAUAAUAAUGGAGUCUACCAACAAUUAGGUACUCAAGGUGCUGGAAAUUAUGUCAACUAUUAAAGAAAGGUAAAUAAAGUUUAUGAGAAUUAUGAGACCCAUUAUGCUGCGCCGCACAUUAAAAUCCCAAGCGUUUGUUCACAUCAGUGCGCGGGAUUUUAUAGCAUGUUUGACGGCACCCGGUAGAAAGAAAUAUUAUUUUAAUGGCAAUUUAAACCCGUUGUAAAGUAAAAAAAAAAAAAAAAAGUCUGCCAAAGCACAAAUACAGCAGACUUGUUCCAUCUUUUGUUGUUUUGGAAACUGAUUUCUUAUCUUUUUCCUUGAAAGUCCUUAUUUAAAUUAUUAUCUGAUUAGGUAAUCAGACACUGAUACAAAUUAAUAAGUAUACAAUAAAUUUAGGAUAUGAGUCAAUCAAACUUUGGCAUAAAUGCUUUAAAAAAUGAAGUGAAUUGUGAUAGGAAACGAUUUCAUUUGACUUUUUAAAUUAUGUAUGUGUAUAACCUGAAGCUGAUUUAUGUUUAUUAGAUGUAUGUUGGAAAUAAAUUUUAAUGAUUAAAUAUAGGUUUCCCCAGCCAAUUUUGCAAAAGAAAGCAUGCGAAUUCAUCUUGAUAGUGGCCAAUUUGAAGCGAAGUAGUGCCCUGCUGUCAUUCCCGUAGUUCUUGUUAGAUAUCAGGCGUUCAAAUUCGUUUAUAGACCUGACAUUUUCAUGUUUACAUAUCCUAAAUUGAAGUUAUGUUAUUCGGUUUAAGUGAUCAUUCAAUUUAGCAGUUGGUUUGGUUGAGGAUUAUUUGCAUGAGAUUAAUGUUUUCGUUUUCAUUUCCGUGCAUUCUAUUUAAGACAUAUGGCAUUCAAAAUAAAAGCAAUACGAUACAAGUCUUUUAA